Zalophus californianus (California sea lion) is the source of this 1093-nucleotide long non-coding RNA. RefSeq lists it as uncharacterized. The transcript has 6 exons. The record is from RefSeq and is a predicted model, not a curated record. Lineage: Eukaryota; Metazoa; Chordata; Mammalia; Carnivora; Otariidae.
GACUAUGAACACUUACAGUUUCUAAAGCAAUUUGCUGAAAAGCUUUCCUCCAAAAUGGUGCCAAUUUCUACCCCAAUCACCCAGAGGAAUGGGGGCGGGGGUCACUAGAACCCCACAUAAGUGGAAGAAGCAGAUGCCAUGAGGAUGAGAGGCUAGUGUCAGUAUAUACGUGACCCUUCUGUGUCGUACUUCUGUGUUUUUUACAGGGAAAAAAAAAUUCAUUUCCCAGAAUCAGCUGAUUUCAAUGCUAAUGUCUUGUCUCAUGGACAUAUUUGUAGUUUCUUUGCUAGUUCCCUUCACUCAUGGCAAAGGCAAGUGUGUGUCUUUCUUCAGGAUGGAAAUGGAAAUCUCCUUAGCUCCUGCUCCUGGAGUAAGACUGCUAGUGGACCAGCUCCCCAGUUGCAAGGCUGAUGGGAUUUCUCUGUGGGCAUAACUGUUAGUCCACGCAUCAGCCCUAACAGCGAGACAAACGUGAUUUACCAAGGAUGCUUCAUCUCCCCACUUUUGGUUUUGGAGGUGGACAUGCACUUGUUACAUCGAGAUGUGGUCCAGUACUUCUAAUAGUGACAACGGAUGAAGAAUGCAUAUGUUUCAGCUACCAUCUCCUUUGAAGACUCACGGUCUACCCAGGUGCUUGAUUUCACAUUGUGCAUGAAAGCCGCACAUCUCGUCUGAGGUUGGAGAAUUGAUGAAGAAGCUCGAAGUAAAAUUCAGGAGUCACGGUUACAAACUAGUACCCUUUACGCUUACCUGCAGGUUUGCCCUACUGCAUUAAGGCCAAACAAACACAUUAUUCUUCCUGAUACCCCAAGUGUGGGAUGCACUACUGCUCUUUAAAAUCAAUAAUCAGGUAAGAAGCCAUGAAGCAAGAAGAUGUAAAAACACAUGGGGAAGAAGAGUGCUUCCCAACGCCGCAAAACAGUAGCCAUUCCACAAAUAAGGCUUUACAUAACCACAAAACAAGAUGACCAUUUAAGAAAACGACAAUAUCAAAAGCACGUUACGUUGUUUCUCAGCACUGAGCACAUUUGGCUGUUAUUGGACACAGCUGCGCAUAAACACCCAAAUCAUCUUUAUCACUUUGCACAGAUAG